GUCCUUUUGAAUUUUAUUUAAGGUUUAACCUGCCCACUGAUUUAUAUUUGAAGGGCCGCAGUAAUUUGACUGUGCAAAGGUAGCAUAAUCAUUAGUUUUUUAAUUAAAAGCUUGUAUGAAGGGUUGGACGAGGUAAAUUCUGUCUCUAUUUAAUUUAUUAUAGAAUUUAAUUUUUAAGUUAAAAAGCUUAAAUAGAAUUAAAAGACGAGAAGACCCUAUAGAUCUUUAUAUUAUUUUUAUUAAUCUUAAUUAAGAUUAUUUAAUUUUUUAAUAAUAAUAAUAUUUUAUUGGGGUAAUAAAAAGAUUUAAUUAAUUCUUUUUUUAUUUUUACAUUAAUAAAUGAAUAUUUGAUCCAAUAUUAUUGAUUAUAAGAUUAAGUUACCUUAGGGAUAACAGCGUAAUAUUUUUAGAGAGUUCAUAUCGAUAAAAAAGUUUGCGACCUCGAUGUUGGAUUAAAAGUUAUUUUAGGUGCAGAAGCUUAAAAUUUUGGUCUGUUCGACCAUUAAAUUUUU
Molecule: ribosomal RNA, 512 nt
Filed under: Ilybius satunini
Lineage: Eukaryota; Metazoa; Arthropoda; Insecta; Coleoptera; Dytiscidae
Description: partial 16S ribosomal RNA
Rfam family: Bacterial large subunit ribosomal RNA (bases 389-512)
Source: RNAcentral